This 666-nucleotide ribosomal RNA is filed under the name Triticum aestivum (bread wheat). RNAcentral describes it as "partial small subunit ribosomal RNA". The record is from RNAcentral. Lineage: Eukaryota; Viridiplantae; Streptophyta; Magnoliopsida; Poales; Poaceae.
AUGGGUUGGGGUGGCACUCUAUCCAUACCUCUGAUCAGCAAGUUAAGCGUCACGCAUAUGGUUUGGCUUUUGGGGAUGGUGGAUGAGGUCAGACAAGCCAUUAUUUUGGGACCGAAUAAGGUAUUUAAGUUCAAUGAGAGCGAUGUUGAGAAGGUAUUCGGAAUCCCGGCAGCUGGAAUAGAUGUGAUGGGCAAAACUCUGGAUAGGAGCGAGACUGUAUUUGCCCAUAAGGGGAUGCUUGGGCAUGCUAUAAGGGGAAGAUGUCACAAACAGAGGUGGCUGCAUUCGAAACUGCAUACAUCGUAUCUAGAUAGCAUUAAUUUGGGGGAAAUAAGCAUGGCACAUGAUGUGUUCCCCAGAAUAAAAGUUUUCACGGCGGAUAAAACUAGAGCCAUGAUCAAUGCCGACAAAAGGCCGAUGGAUUCAACGAAGAAUAGAGAUUUCAUUUUUGGCAGUUCAGCAGUAAGUCUCCACCCAGACCAUUAUAGGAUUCAGUUUAGCACUGCAUCUUCAGAGAGAGGGCAUACUCGUCGAUUUUUUCUCUUGUUUCGCAGCCACGAGAUGCUGCUAGUUCAGCAUAUUCCAGGGCAGAUAACGACUAUAUUGCACAACAACAAGGGGAUGCUUGGGCAUGUGCAUCAAAGAUUUGUGAUUCUAUGGGCUUGA